AUUGUGACUCGAGGCUGAGGCUGCUGUGUUGGACCUUCGGCUCAGUGGUUCGUGCUUCUCCUGCUGUUUGUCUGGCUAAUCUCUGCUCACCCAUCAGGUAUUAGCCUAACCUAAAUGCCACUUCCUCCAGGAUGUCUUCCAGGAACCCAAACUUCCCACAGUUUAUGUCUUCUUGCUGCAGGAACCAUUGCUGGAAGGUACUGAGAACUAAAUCAGUCUGUUCAACCUCCCACCUGUGCAGUUUUACCCUGUGCCUCCCUGGCAGGGAGAGAAGAGGCCCACGACUGGCUCCUACAGAUAUUAAAGAGGAGACUGAAACUGUUCCUUGGACAUCUUAUGAGUGUC
Molecule: small RNA, 345 nt
Filed under: Pongo abelii (Sumatran orangutan)
Lineage: Eukaryota; Metazoa; Chordata; Mammalia; Primates; Hominidae
Description: processed transcript
Source: RNAcentral